Molecule: microRNA precursor, 56 nt
Filed under: Heligmosomoides polygyrus
Lineage: Eukaryota; Metazoa; Nematoda; Chromadorea; Rhabditida; Heligmosomidae
Description: microRNA hpo-mir-10132 precursor
Source: miRBase by way of RNAcentral
AUAAAGAUCAACAUCUGUCUAUUCUCUUUGGAAUAUACUGAUGUUGAUCUUUAUCA